GCCAUUUAUGGAGGUAAAGUAAACCAAAAAAUUUUGUGGUGAAACUAAAAGAUUAUUCUUUUGCCCCAAAUUAAAAGUUAAACACACGCCCCAAUUUGGAUAGCUUGACGGUUACGGAAGUAUAGAAAAGUAUAAGACAUUAAUCACAAGUCACCAGUUACAAUAGUUAUUACUUAUUACUUAUUAAACUACCUAUAAACUCUAAUGAAUAAUUAUUAAUAUCGUUGAUCCCCCGAUCACCACAAGAACGAUGUUGUCGUCAUACUCGUUGUUUAAAAUUAACGAACUUUUUUAGAGCCGUUUGUAUAUAUAGAUUGUAAGAUAGAUGACACAUGCAAGUUUAACUAAGCUCCCACUUACAAUUGAAUGCUAAUGAUGAAUGUGAGUUUGGUAUUUGUAGUUUGGGUGCUGUUAUUCGGUAUUUAAAGCGGUGUAAAAUGGACUUCCAACUUUUAUCUAGAGGAAGAUUUGACAUAUUAUAUAAACCAGUUGAUAUUGAAUCUGUUGAAUUAUCCAAUCAAGAUAAUAUUAACAGCAAACUUAUGAUACUUGACACAAUAACUCUAGAAAACCUGCAUAUAUUAAAAAACUGCUGGUUCAUAUACAGGAACAUUACUAAACAAGUUAAAUCAUUGUUUUACACCAGGGAUCUCCAAACUACGGCCUAACCUCGAACAAAUUUUAACCGGCCUAC
Long non-coding RNA from Aphis gossypii (cotton aphid), 694 nucleotides. RefSeq lists it as uncharacterized. The record is from RefSeq and is a predicted model, not a curated record. NCBI's taxonomy places the organism in Eukaryota, Metazoa, Arthropoda, Insecta, Hemiptera, Aphididae. The transcript has 3 exons.